CUGCAAUCUCAGUUAAAAUCAAAGCUGUGCCUCGCUGCUUGGUGUGGAAGAGCCUGAGGCAAACUGGAUCAUCAGCACGGUUUUUGAAAUGUUCUUGGAGGAGCCACUGGAGUCAGCACCGGUGAGGAGCAGAGGAGGCGGCAGCUCGGCUCACAACCGAGGAGCCUCAAGGAAGAAAUUUAAAUGGUUGACUUUUAACUGAAGAAUGGGCUUGAUUUUAAAAUACAUCACAUUCAUCUGUUAGCAGUCAGGGGCCUCAUGAACCCUAGAGCCUGGCUCUUAACAUGAGAAAAAUGGGAGGCUAAAGAAGAUGCAACAAGUUCUAUAAAAUAUUGAAACUGAAGUACUGGAGCUACAGAUUCCCUCCAACUGAAACCACAGUGGAUAUACAUUCAUGAUGACUAAUUCUGUACUACUGCAGAGUCUGGAUGCAGAAAUGGGUUUUUCCUGAAGUCUGAAAUCUCUGAGUUAGUGAAGAUCUAAAUUUAUUUUUUUGUUUUCUUUAAGAAUUUUCCAUUUGUGAAGAUGCCUAAUGAUCUCCUGUGGGACUAUAUAUUAGAACAAUUUUCUUAAAAUUACUCAAAGUAAGAGGACAGAAGAUGAUGCCUCUGGAAUAAAUGAAUAAACUUCCUUUAUAAAUAAAUAA
This is a long non-coding RNA of Parus major (Great Tit), 646 nucleotides long. RefSeq lists it as uncharacterized. Lineage: Eukaryota; Metazoa; Chordata; Aves; Passeriformes; Paridae. The record is from RefSeq and is a predicted model, not a curated record. The transcript is spliced from 3 exons.